This is a long non-coding RNA of Rana temporaria (common frog), 830 nucleotides long. RefSeq lists it as uncharacterized. NCBI's taxonomy places the organism in Eukaryota, Metazoa, Chordata, Amphibia, Anura, Ranidae. The record is from RefSeq and is a predicted model, not a curated record. The transcript is spliced from 3 exons.
UUGUGGGGGGAAAAAGACAGCUACAUAUUAAUAAGUACGACUAGGCAAAACAGCUGUCACUAUUACAUUGUGUAAUAACAAGUCACUACUGAGCAUAAGCAAAGCUGGAAGAUUCUGUGUAUGUGCUGCAGAAAUAAAAGUGAAAGUAACUUGCUCAUAAAGAUCCAUUGCUGCCAUUUAUAAAACCAGCAGUUGAAAAGGAGAUUCAAGCGAGGAACAUGCCAGUGUUGUAGGGCAUUUCAAAUGGAUUAUUCCCCUUGAUUAGAUAUCAUAACAGUGGAGUGGAUUAUAAAUUGGGACUCAGCACUAAGGAUGGACAAAAGACAACCAAGGAGAAGGUGCAAUAUGGUGGGCCCAGAUGGGAAUUAAAUGAUCCGACUUCGUUUUAGAGCUAAUGGAGGACAUUACAAGGAAGCAGAACACACAGUAAGAAAUGAUUUAAUAAACAAUAGAUUAUGGAUUAUUUUUUAAGAAUAAGAAUAGUGUCACUUUAAGUACAGUAUGUUCUCUUGGAUACUUAGAAAAACACCCCUCAUUUUUUAAAGUCAUCUCACCAUUCAACACACUGUUCAGGCUCAACUGGAUUUGCAACCUUUAAAUAUACAGAUUUCUCUACUUGAGAGGCAGUUACUUUUUUUUUUUUUUUUUUAAUCCAAACUUUUUUUAUUGACAAGGAAAAAUAGAAAAAGUGACCAUACAUUGCUGAAAAAUAUAAAUAAAUAAUAAAGGAUAUACAUGACAACCAAUUUCACGAGCAUAGUACAUAAGGUAGAUAAUGAGAUACAGACCAUCACAUCAUAUACGUAGCAAAUACAUGUAGCGCUGGUCUC